This 254-nucleotide ribosomal RNA is filed under the name uncultured bacterium. RNAcentral describes it as "partial 16S ribosomal RNA". It matches the Rfam family "Bacterial small subunit ribosomal RNA", at positions 524 to 776 of the family's 1533-position model. The record is from RNAcentral.
CACGUAGGGACCAAGCGUUGUCCGGAUUCAUUGGGCGUAAAGAGCUCGUAGGCGGCUCAGUAAGUCGGGUGUGAAACCUCCAGGCUCAACCUGGAGACGCCACCCGAUACUGCUGUGGCUAGAGUCCAGUAGGGGAGCGUGGAAUUCCUGGUGUAGCGGUGAAAUGCGCAGAUAUCAGGAGGAACACCAGCGGCGAAGGCGGCGCUCUGGGCUGGAACUGACGCUGAGGCGCGAAAGCUAGGGGAGCGAACGGG